This 392-nucleotide ribosomal RNA is filed under the name uncultured bacterium. RNAcentral describes it as "partial 16S ribosomal RNA". It matches the Rfam family "Bacterial small subunit ribosomal RNA", at positions 523 to 918 of the family's 1533-position model. The record is from RNAcentral.
AUACGUAGGGGGCGAGCGUUGUCCGGAAUUAUUGGGCGUAAAGGGUUCGCAGGCGGUCUGAUAAGUCAGAUGUGAAAGGCAAUGGCUCAACCAUUGUAAGCAUUUGAAACUGUCAGACUUGAGUUAAGGAGAGGAAAGUGGAAUUCCUAGUGUAGCGGUGAAAUGCGUAGAUAUUAGGAGGAAUACCAGUGGCGAAGGCGACUUUCUGGACUUAUACUGACGCUGAGGAACGAAAGCGUGGGGAGCAAACAGGAUUAGAUACCCUGGUAGUCCACGCCGUAAACGAUGAGUGCUAGGUGUUGGGGGUCAAACCUCGGUGCCGCAGCUAACGCAUUAAGCACUCCGCCUGGGGAGUACGUACGCAAGUAUGAAACUCAAAUGAAUUGGCGGGG